GACGAACGCUGGCGGCGUGCUUAACACAUGCAAGUCGAACGGUAAGGCCCUUCGGGGUACAAGAGUGGCGAACGGGUGAGUAACACGUGGGUGAUCUGCCCUGCACUUCGGGAUAAGCCUGGGAAACUGGGUCUAAUACCGGAUAGGACCACUGCCUGCAUGGGUGGUGGGGGAAAGCUUUUGAGGUGUGGGAUGGGCCCGCGGCCUAUCAGCUUGUUGGUGGGGUGAUGGCCUACCAAGGCGACGACGGGUAGCCGGCCUGAGAGGGUGACCGGCCACACUGGGACUGAGAUACGGCCCAGACUCCUACGGGAGGCAGCAGUGGGGAAUAUUGCACAAUGGGCGCAAGCCUGAUGCAGCGACGCCGCGUGAGGGAUGACGGCCUUCGGGUUGUAAACCUCUUUCAGCACCGACGAAGCGCAAGUGACGGUAGGUGCAGAAGAAGGACCGGCCAACUACGUGCCAGCAGCCGCCGUAA
RNAcentral lists this ribosomal RNA (478 nucleotides) under uncultured bacterium. Its description in RNAcentral is "partial 16S ribosomal RNA". It matches the Rfam family "Bacterial small subunit ribosomal RNA", at positions 28 to 523 of the family's 1533-position model. The record is from RNAcentral.